GGUGGCUCAGUGGUAGAGCGCUUGCCUAGCACGCAUGAGGCCCUGGGUUCCAAUCCUCAGCACCA
RNAcentral lists this transfer RNA (65 nucleotides) under Dipodomys ordii (Ord's kangaroo rat). It matches the Rfam family "tRNA". From Rfam's summary of the family: Transfer RNA (tRNA) molecules are approximately 80 nucleotides in length. Their secondary structure includes four short double-helical elements and three loops (D, anti-codon, and T loops). Lineage: Eukaryota; Metazoa; Chordata; Mammalia; Rodentia; Heteromyidae. The record is from Rfam by way of RNAcentral.